UCGAGAAUUUUUCUCAAUGGGGGAAACCCUGAAGGAGCGACGCCGCGUGGAGGAUGAAGGUCUUCGGAUUGUAAACUCCUGUCAUUAGGGAACAAUUGCCGGCAAAUAACUACUGCCGGCUUGAUAGUACCUGAAGAGGAAGAGACGGCUAACUCUGUGCCAGCAGCCGCGGUAAUACAGAGGUCUCAAGCGUUGUUCGGAUUCAUUGGGCGUAAAGGGUGCGUAGGUGGCGCCAUAAGUCAGGUGUGAAAUCUCGGGGCUCAACCCCGAAACUGCACUUGAUACUGUGGUGCUCGAGUACUGGAGAGGAGAUUGGAAUUUACGGUGUAGCAGUGAAAUGCGUAGAUAUCGUAAGGAAGACCAGUGGCGAAGGCGAAUCUCUGGACAGUUACUGACACUGAGGCACGAAGGCCAGGGGAGCAAACG
This 426-nucleotide ribosomal RNA is filed under the name uncultured Chthoniobacter sp. Its description in RNAcentral is "bacterial SSU rRNA". It matches the Rfam family "Bacterial small subunit ribosomal RNA", at positions 355 to 774 of the family's 1533-position model. The record is from RNAcentral. Lineage: Bacteria; Pseudomonadati; Verrucomicrobiota; Spartobacteria; Chthoniobacterales; Chthoniobacteraceae.